GCCGACAUAGCUCAUUUGGUAGAGCAACUCCAUGGUAAGGAGUAGGUGCUCGGUUCAAAUCCGAGUGUCGGCU
This 73-nucleotide transfer RNA is filed under the name Candidatus Kuenenbacteria bacterium CG10_big_fil_rev_8_21_14_0_10_36_11. RNAcentral's name for it is "tRNA-Thr". It matches the Rfam family "tRNA". Rfam says of the family: Transfer RNA (tRNA) molecules are approximately 80 nucleotides in length. Their secondary structure includes four short double-helical elements and three loops (D, anti-codon, and T loops). RNAcentral also lists the same sequence under 1 other name. Lineage: Bacteria; Candidatus Kueneniibacteriota. The record is from RNAcentral.